RNAcentral lists this transfer RNA (72 nucleotides) under Cordylochernes scorpioides. RNAcentral's name for it is "tRNA-Tyr". The record is from RNAcentral. Lineage: Eukaryota; Metazoa; Arthropoda; Arachnida; Pseudoscorpiones; Chernetidae.
UGCCGUGACCAGGAUACGAACUUGGGUUAUUGCGGCUACAACGCAAUGUCCUAACAACUAGACGAUCACGGC